RNAcentral lists this ribosomal RNA (399 nucleotides) under uncultured bacterium. RNAcentral describes it as "bacterial SSU rRNA". It matches the Rfam family "Bacterial small subunit ribosomal RNA", at positions 957 to 1365 of the family's 1533-position model. The record is from RNAcentral.
AAACGCGAAGAACCUUACCUACCUGACAUCCUCAGAACUGUUAGAGAUAACUUGGUGCCUUCGGGAACUGAGUGACAGGUGCUGCAUGGCCUGUCGUCAGCUCGUGUCGUGAGAUGUUGGGUUAAGUCCCGUAACGAGCGCAACCCUUGUCCUAGUUGCCAUCAUUUAGUUGGGAACUCUAGGGAGACUGCCGGUGACAAACCGGAGGAAGGUGGGGAUGACGUCAAGUCAUCAUGGCCCUUACGGGUAGGGCUACACACGUGCUACAAUGGCCGGUACAGAGGGCCGCAAACCCGCGAGGGGGAGCAAAUCUCACAAAACCGGUCGUAGUCCGGAUUGGAGUCCACUGACUCCAUGAAGUCGGAUCGCUAGUAAUCGCNAUCANAGUGUCGCGGUAAU